Molecule: ribosomal RNA, 403 nt
Filed under: uncultured bacterium
Lineage: Bacteria
Description: partial 16S ribosomal RNA
Rfam family: Bacterial small subunit ribosomal RNA
Source: RNAcentral
GACGAACGCUGGCGGCGUGCCUAAUACAUGCAAGUCGAACGCAGUGGGGACGGGUGAGUAACACGUGGGUAACCUCCCAUCAGAGUUGAUAACACUUGGAAACAGGUGCUAAACCGAUACUGAUGUAUGUUCCCGCGUUGCAUUAGCUAGUUGGUGAGGUAACGGCUCACCAAGGCCACGAUGCAUAGCGGACCGGAGAGGGUGAUCGGCCACACUGGGACUGAGACACGGCCCAGACUCCUACGGGAGGCAGCAGUAGGGAAUCUUCGGCAAUGGACGAAAGUCUGACCGAGCAACGCCGCGUGAGUGAAGAAGGUUUUCGGAUCGUAAAACUCGGUUGUUAGGGAGGCGGUAUCUAACCAGAAAGCCACGGCUAACUACGUGCCAGCCGCCGCGGUAAUAC